RNAcentral lists this ribosomal RNA (468 nucleotides) under uncultured bacterium. RNAcentral describes it as "partial 16S ribosomal RNA". It matches the Rfam family "Bacterial small subunit ribosomal RNA", at positions 28 to 507 of the family's 1533-position model. The record is from RNAcentral.
GACGAACGCUGGCGGCGUGCUUAACACAUGCAAGUCGAACGGAAGGGCCCUGCUUUUGUGGGGUGCUCGAGUGGCGAACGGGUGAGUAACACGUGAGUAACCUGCCCUUGACUUUGGGAUAGCUUCAGGAAACUGGGGCUAAUACCGGAUAGGAGCUCCUGCUGCGUGGUGGGGGUUGGAACGUUGCGGCGGGUGGGGAUGGACUCGCGGCUUAUCAGCUUGUUGGUGGGGUAGUUGCUUACCAAGGCAUUGAAGGGUAGCCGGCCUGAGAGGGUGACCGGCCACAUUGGGACUGAGAUACGGCCCAGACUCCUACGGGAGGCAGCAGUGGGGAAUAUUGCACAAUGGGCGGAAGCCUGAUGCAGCAACGCCGCGUGCGGGAUGACGGCCUUCGGGUUGUAAACCGCUUCCGCCUGUGACGAAGCGUGAGUGACGGUAAUGGGUAAAGAAGCACCGGCUAACUACGUG